RNAcentral lists this long non-coding RNA (5130 nucleotides) under Salmo trutta (river trout). RNAcentral's name for it is "lncRNA (ENSSTUG00000038894.1)". Lineage: Eukaryota; Metazoa; Chordata; Actinopteri; Salmoniformes; Salmonidae. The record is from RNAcentral.
AUGGUACAGAGUCAAUGUGGAGGCUAUAUACAGGGGGUACCGGUACAGAGUCAAUGUGGAGGCUAUAUACAGGGGGUACCGGUACAGAGUCAAUGUGGAGGCUAUAUACAGGGGGUACCGGUACAGAGUCAAUGUGGAGGCUAUAUACAGGGUGUUAUGGUACAGAGUCAAUGUGGAGGCUAUAUACAGGGUGUUAUGGUACAGAGUCAAUGUGGAGGCUAUAUACAGGGGGUACCGGUACAGAGUCAAUGUGGAGGCUAUAUACAGGGGGUACCGGUACAGAGUCAAUGUGGAGGCUAUAUACAGGGGGUACCGGUACAGAGUCAAUGUGGAGGCUAUAUACAGGGGGUACCGGUACAGAGUCAGUGUGGAGGCUAUAUACAGGGUGUUAUGGUACAGAGUCAGUGUGGAGGCUAUAUACAGGGUGUUAUGGUACAGAGUCAAUGUGGAGGCUAUAUACAGGGUGUUAUGGUACAGAGUCAAUGUGGAGGCUAUAUACAGGGGGUACCGGUACAGAGUCAAUGUGGAGGCUAUAUACAGGGGGUACCGGUACAGAGUCAAUGUGGAGGCUAUAUACAGGGGGUACCGGUACAGAGUCAAUGUGGAGGCUAUAUACAGGGGGUACCGGUACAGAGUCAAUGUGGAGCUAUAUACAGGGGGUACCGGUACAGAGUCAAUGUGGAGGCUAUAUACUGGGGGUACCGGUACAGAGGCAAUGUGGAGGAUAUAUACAGGGGGUACCAGUACAGAGUCAGUGUGGAGGCUAUAUACAGCAUGUUAUGGUACAGAGUCAGUGUGGAGGCUAUAUACAGGGUGUUAUGGUACAGAGUCAAUGUGGAGGCUAUAUACAGGGUGUUAUGGUACAGAGUCAAUGUGGAGGCUAUAUACAGGGGGUACCGGUACAGAGUCAAUGUGGAGACUAUAUACAGGGGGUACUGGUACAGAGUCAAUGUGGAGGCUAUAUACAGGGUGUUAUGGUACAGAGUCAAUGUGGAGGCUAUAUACAGGGGGUACCGGUACAGAGUCAAUGUGGAGGCUAUAUACAGGGGGUACCGGUACAGAGUCAAUGUGGAGGCUAUAUACAGGGGGUACCGGUACAGAGUCAAUGUGGAGGCUAUAUACAGGGGGUACCGGUGCAGAGUCAAUGUGGAGGCUAUAUACAGGGUGUUAUGGUACGGAGUCAAUGUGGAGGCUAUAUACAGGGGGUACCGGUACAGAGUCAAUGUGGAGGCUAUAUACAGGGGGUACAGGUACAGAGUCAAUGUGGAGGCUAUAUACAGGGGGUACCGGUACAGAGUCAAUGUGGAGGCUAUAUACAGGGGGUACCGGUACAGAGUCAAUGUGGAGGCUAUAUACAGGGGGUACCGGUACAGAGUCAAUGUGGAGGCUAUAUACAGGGUGUUAUGGUACAGAGUCAAUGUGGAGGCUAUAUACAGGGGGUACCGGUACAGAGUCAAUGUGGAGACUAUAUACAGGGGGUACCGGUACAGAGUCAAUGUGGAGGCUAAAUACAGGGUGUUAUGGUACAGAGUCAAUGUGGAGGCUAUAUACAGGGGGUACCGGUACAGAGUCAAUGUGGAGGCUAUAUACAGGGGGUACCGGUACAGAGUCAAUGUGGAGGCUAUAUACAGGGGGUACCGGUACAGAGUCAAUGUGGAGGCUAUAUACAUGGGGUACCGGUACAGAGUCAAUGUGGGGGCUAUAUACAGGGGGUACCGGUACAGAGUCAAUGUGGAGGCUAUAUACAGGGAGUACCGGUACAGAGUCAAUGUGGAGGCUAUAUACAGAGGGUACCGGUACAGAUUCAAUGUGGAGGCUAUAUACAGGGAGUACCGGUACAGAGUCAAUGUGGAGGCUAUAUACAGGGGGUACCGGUACAGAGUCAAUGUGGAGGCUAUAUACAAGGGUACCGGUACAGAGUCAAUGUGGAGGCUAUAUACAAGGGGUACCGGUACAGAGUCAAUGUGGAGGCUAUAUACAGGGGGUACCGGUACAGAGUCAAUGUGGAGGCUAUAUACAGGGGGUACCGGUACAGAGUCAAUGUGGAGGCUAUAUACAGGGUGUUAUGGUACAGAGUCAAUGUGGAGGCUAUAUACAGGGGGUACCGGUACAGAGUCAAUGUGGAGGCUAUAUACAGGGGUACCGGUACAGAGUCAAUGUGGAGGCUAUAUACAGGGGGUACCGGUACAGAGUCAAUGUGGAGGCUAUAUACAGGGGGUACCGGUACAGAGUCAAUGUGGAGGCUAUAUACAGGGGGUACCGGUACAGAGUCAAUGUGGAGGCUAUAUACAGGGAGUACCGGUACAGAGUCAAUGUGGAGACUAUAUACAGGGAGUACCGGUACAGAGUCAAUGUGGAGGCUAUAUACAGGGGGUACCGGUACAGAGUCAAUGUGGAGGCUAUAUACAGGGGGUACCGGUACAGAGUCAAUGUGGAGCCUAUAUACAGGGGGUACCGGUACAGAGUCAAUGUGGAGGCUAUAUACAGGGGGUACCGGUACAGAGUCAAUGUGGAGGCUAUAUACAGGGGGUACCGGUACAGAGUCAAUGUGGAGGCUAUAUACAAUGGGUACCGGUACAGAGUCAAUGUGGGGGCUAUAUACAGGGGGUACCGGUACAGAUUCAAUGUGGAGGCUAUAUACAGGGAGUACCGGUACAGAGUCAAUGUGGAGGCUAUAUACAGGGGUACCGGUACAGAGUCAAUGUGGAGGCUAUAUACAGGGGUACCGGUACAGAGUCAAUGUGGAGGCUAUAUACAGGGGGUACCGGUACAGAGUCAAUGUGGAGGCUAUAUACAGGGGGUACCGGUACAGAGUCAAUGUGGAGGCUAUAUACAAGUGGUACCGGUACAGAGUCAAUGUGGAGGCUAUAUACAGGGUGUUAUGGUACAGAGUCAAUGUGGAGGCUAUAUACAGGGGGUACCGGUACAGAGUCAAUGUGGAGACUAUAUACAGGGGGUACCGGUACAGAGUCAAUGUGGAGGCUAUAUACAGGGUGUUAUGGUACAGAGUCAAUGUGGAGGCUAUAUACAGGGGGUACCGGUACAGAGUCAAUGUGGAGGCUAUAUACAGGGAGUACCGGUACAGAGUCAAUGUGGAGGCUAUAUACAGAGGGUACCGGUACAGAUUCAAUGUGGAGGCUAUAUACAGGGAGUACCGGUACAGAGUCAAUGUGGAGGCUAUAUACAGGGGGUACCGGUACAGAGUCAAUGUGGAGGCUAUAUACAGGGGUACCGGUACAGAGUCAAUGUGGAGGCUAUAUACAGGGGGUACCGGUACAGAGUCAAUGUGGAGGCUAUAUACAGGGGGUACCGGUACAGAGUCAAUGUGGAGGCUAUAUACAGGGGGUACCGGUACAGAGUCAAUGUGGAGGCUAUAUACAGGGAGUACCGGUACAGAGUCAAUGUGGAGACUAUAUACAGGGAGUACCGGUACAGAGUCAAUGUGGAGGCUAUAUACAGGGGGUACCGGUACAGAGUCAAUGUGGAGGCUAUAUACAGGGGGUACCGGUACAGAGUCAAUGUGGAGCCUAUAUACAGUGGGUACCGGUACAGAGUCAAUGUGGAGGCUAUAUACAUGGGGUACCGGUACAGAGUCAAUGUGGAGGCUAUAUACAGGGGGUACCGGUACAGAGUCAAUGUGGAGGCUAUAUACAGGGAGUACCGGUACAGAGUCAAUGUGGAGGCUAUAUACAGAGGGUAACGGUACAGAUUCAAUGUGGAGGCUAUAUACAGGGAGUACCGGUACAGAGUCAAUGUGGAGGCUAUAUACAGGGGGUACCGGUACAGAGUCAAUGUGGAGGCUAUAUACAGGGGUACCGGUACAGAGUCAAUGUGGAGGCUAUAUACAGGGGGUACCGGUACAGAGUCAAUGUGGAGGCUAUAUACAGGGGGUACCGUUACAGAGUCAAUGUGGAGGCUAUAUACAGGGGGUACCGGUACAGAGUCAAUGUGGAGGCUAUAUACAGGGAGUACCGGUACAGAGUCAAUGUGGAGACUAUAUACAGGGAGUACCGGUACAGAGUCAAUGUGGAGGCUGUAUACAGGGAGUACCGGUACAGAGUCAAUGUGGAGGCUAUAUACAGGGUGUUAUGGUACAGAGUCAAUGUGGAGGCUAUAUACAGGGGGUACCGGUACAGAGUCAAUGUGGAGGCUAUAUACAGGGGUACCGGUACAGAGUCAAUGUGGAGGCUAUAUACAGGGGGUACCGGUACAGAGUCAAUGUGGAGGCUAUAUACAGGGGGUACCGGUACAGAGUCAAUGUGGAGGCUAUAUACAGGGGGUACCGGUACAGAGUCAAUGUGGAGGCUAUAUACAGGGGGGUACCGGUACAGAGUCAAUGUGGAGGCUAUAUACAGGGGGUACCGGUACAGAGUCAAUGUGGAGGCUAUAUACAGGGGUACCGGUACAGAGUCAAUGUGGAGGCUAUAUACAGGGGGUACCGGUACAGAGUCAAUGUGGAGGCUAUAUACAGGGGGUACCGGUACAGAGUCAAUGUGGAGGCUAUAUACAGGGGGUACCAGUACAGAGUCAAUGUGGAGGCUAUAUACAGGGAGUACCGGUACAGAUUCAAUGUGGAGACUAUAUACAGGGAGUACCGGUACAGAGUCAAUGUGGAGGCUAUAUACAGGGGGUACCGGUACAGAGUCAAUGUGGAGGCUGUAUACAGGGAGUACCGGUACAGAGUCAAUGUGGAGGCUAUAUACAGGGUAUUAUUGUACAGAGUCAAUGUGGAGGCUAUAUACAUGGGGUACCGGUACAGAUUCAAUGUGGAGGCUAUAUACAGGGGUACCGGUACAGAGUUAUUGUGGAGGCUAUAUACAGGGGGUACCGGUACAGAGUCAAUGUGGAGGCUAUAUACAGGGGGUACCGGUACAGAGUCAAUGUGUAGGCUAUAUACAGGGAGUACCGGUACAGAGUCAAUAUGGAGGCUAUAUACAUGCGGUACUGGUACAGAGUCAAUGUGGAGGCUAUAUACAGGGGGUACCGGUACAGAGUCAAUGUGGAGGCUAUAUACAGGGGGUACCGGUACAGAGUCAAUGUGGAGGCUAUAUACAGGGGAUACCGGUACAGAGUCAAUGUGGAGGAUAUAUACAGGGGUACCGGUACAGAGUCAAUGUGGAGGCUUUAUAG